CCCACGCGCUCACACAGCCCUCUGCUCUGGACGCAGAAAUGCACCUGCACUGCAUCCGCGCCAGAAGAACACGUGCUGUGCAAAGGCCCGGGUUCCCUGUGCCACGGUCAGCUCAGGAAGCAGAGGUGCGAAACAAAUGAUCACGGCAUCACAAAGAUCAGCAUCAAGGGGCCUAGAAACACCCUGUGCCCACCUGAGAGACCAGCCAGCCGCCCACACGGUGGAGAAUCUGGGCCAUCCUCCAGGGUAAUUUAACCCUCAGCCGCGGCUCUUACAGCCCUGCAGAUUGGAAGCACAAUGAGGAGCAGGACACUUAUGGAACUGCAGCUUCCGUCCGUACACAAAAUAGUUACUCACAAGGAGGAAGAAACGAGAAACCUGACGGUGGAGAGGCCGUGAGGGGCCAGCCCGCUGGGAGCCAUGGAGACCAGGCACCCCGAGGGACGCAGGAGACUGGGCCCACUCCUCCUGCAGACCCGACGGAGCAGAACGCCCCGAGCAAACACCAGACCAAGUCUAUGACAUAAUCUGCUGGGUGCCAGGGACACGAGGGUCACAGAAGUCCUGAGGAACAUUCCAGAUUGAAGGACACCCAGGGGCACGGCCACUAAAUGCAAGGAGGGGUCCUGGGGAGAUGCACUUUCUCUAAAGGUGAUGUUGGACCAGUUGUUGGAGAUGGAUCGAGGCCUGUGGAUUGGGUGACCUCAGGCCAUUAGGCCAAUGUCAUCCAGACAGCGGUGCUGUGAGAACAUAAGAGAAUGUCCUUUGUAGGAAAC
Molecule: long non-coding RNA, 776 nt
Organism: Suricata suricatta (meerkat)
Lineage: Eukaryota; Metazoa; Chordata; Mammalia; Carnivora; Herpestidae
Exons: 3
Source: RefSeq, a predicted model, not a curated record